GGGGCUACUUCUUCCUGCCACGGUCAUGAUUGAGAGGCAACGGGUGGCGAGUCUACAGGGGACGUCGUCGAGCAGACAUGGGAUAACUUUAAGGGAGAAGACAGACAAGGGGAGGGGCUCCUGUGAUGGGAUCAGUCAGAUGCCUGCCUGGCCGCUCCCCCUGAGGGGACUUGGGCUCCUCUUAACAUUGGCAGGCUGGUAUAAACUUCCGGCUCAGAUCAAGCUAUGCCUGAUGCUGCCUUAAGCCUUAUGAGGUCGCCACGGAACCGCAGGAGAUCAUGCUGCUGUGAUGCCGGGUUUUCUUAACAGCAUAAGGAAGACUUGCCCCUUGCCCUAUCAAAGAGAAUAGUUUUGGAGGGCCGAAGUGGGACCAAAAAAGAUGCAGUUUUCAUUUCUAUUGGGAAAUGUGAAAAAAAAAUUGUCAACUCUUUUAGUUAAAAACAACAACAACAAAAAAGGAAACGAGAUGUGGGGCCGCCGCACGCAAUAUCGUGCAUUAAAAGGAUGUUCUACUCUGGAGGAAAAUAUCUUUGCUGAUGCCAGACCAACCUAACACAAAGAACUUUUGGUUUUUUAAUGUGACUGUGUUUUAUUUUACACUGUGUAAUUCACU
Long non-coding RNA from Homo sapiens (human), 613 nucleotides. Ensembl annotates it as long intergenic non-protein coding RNA 2754. The record is from Ensembl. Lineage: Eukaryota; Metazoa; Chordata; Mammalia; Primates; Hominidae.